This 524-nucleotide ribosomal RNA is filed under the name uncultured Coxiella sp. RNAcentral describes it as "bacterial SSU rRNA". It matches the Rfam family "Bacterial small subunit ribosomal RNA", at positions 404 to 958 of the family's 1533-position model. The record is from RNAcentral. Lineage: Bacteria; Pseudomonadati; Pseudomonadota; Gammaproteobacteria; Legionellales; Coxiellaceae.
GGGGAAGAAAGUCUCAAGUUUCCCAUAUUUGUAUGGCGUAAGUUACUACGGAAGAAGCACUGGCUAACUCUGUGCCAGCAGCCGCGGUAAUACAGAGAGUGCAAGCGUUAAUCGGAAUCACUGGGCGUAAAGCGCGCGUAGGUGGAUAUUUAAGUCGGAUGUGAAAGCCCUAGGCUUAACCUAGGAACUGCAUUCGAUACUGGAUAUCUCGAGUAUGGUAGAGGGAAGUGGAAUUUCCGGUGUAGCGGUGAAAUGCGUAGAUAUCGGAAAGAACACCAGUGGCGAAGGCGGCUUCCUGGACCAAUACUGACACUGAGGCGCGAAAGCGUGGGGAGCAAACAGGAUUAGAGACCCUGGUAGUCCACGCCGUCAACGAUGAGAACUAGCUGUUGGAGAGUUUGCUUUCUAGUAGCGAAGCUAACGCGUUAAGUUCUCCGCCUGGGGAGUACGGCCGCAAGGUUAAAACUCAAAGAAAUUGACGGGGGCCCGCACAAGCGGUGGAGCAUGUGGUUUAAUUCGAUGCA